AGUGAACGCUGGCGGUAGGCCUAACACAUGCAAGUCGAACGGCAGCACAGUAAGAGCUUGCUCUUACGGGUGGCGAGUGGCGGACGGGUGAGGAAUAUAUCGGAAUCUACUUUUUCGUGGGGGAUAACGUAGGGAAACUUACGCUAAUACCGCAUACGACCUACGGUUGAAAGCAGGGGAUCUUCGGACCUUGCGCGAUUGAAUGCGCCGAUGUCGGAUUAGUUAGUUGGCGGGGUAAAGGCCCACCAAGGCGACGAUCCGUAGCUGGUCUGAGAGGAUGGUCGGCCACACUGGAACGGAGACACGGUCCAGACUACUACGGGAGGCAGCAGUGGGGAAUAUUGGACAAUGGGCGCAAGCCUGAUCCAGCCAUACCGCGUGGGUGAAGAAGGCCUUCGGGUUGUAAAGCCCUUUUGUUGGGAAAGAAAAGCAGCAGGUUAAUACCCCGCUGUUCUGACGGUACCCAAAGAAUAAGCACCGGCUAACUUCGUG
RNAcentral lists this ribosomal RNA (492 nucleotides) under uncultured bacterium. RNAcentral's name for it is "partial 16S ribosomal RNA". It matches the Rfam family "Bacterial small subunit ribosomal RNA", at positions 29 to 507 of the family's 1533-position model. The record is from RNAcentral.